Molecule: ribosomal RNA, 301 nt
Filed under: uncultured bacterium
Lineage: Bacteria
Description: partial 16S ribosomal RNA
Rfam family: Bacterial small subunit ribosomal RNA
Source: RNAcentral
CAGUCGCCACGGUAAUACGUAGGUGGCAAGCGUUGUCCGGAUUUAUUGGGCGUAAAGCGAGCGCAGGCGGUCAAUUAAGUCUGAUGUGAAAGCCCCCGACUCAACCGGGGAGGGUCAUUGGAAACUGGUUGACUUGAGUGCAGAAGAGGAGAGUGGUAUUCCAUGUGUAGCGGUGAAAUGCGUAGAUAUAUGGAGGAACACCAGUGGCGAAGGCGACUCUCUGGUCUGUAACUGACGCUGAGGCUCGAAAGCGUGGGUAGCAAACAGGAUUAGAUACCCCGGUAGUCCCUGUCUCUUAUAC